This 252-nucleotide ribosomal RNA is filed under the name uncultured bacterium. RNAcentral's name for it is "partial 16S ribosomal RNA". It matches the Rfam family "Bacterial small subunit ribosomal RNA", at positions 524 to 776 of the family's 1533-position model. The record is from RNAcentral.
UACGUAGGUGGCGAGCGUUAUCCGGAAUCAUUGGGCGUAAAGAGGGAGCAGGCGGUCUGAGAGGUCUGUGGUGAAAGCCCGAAGCUAAACUUCGGUAAGCCAUGGAAACCGGCGGACUAGAGUGCGGCAGAGGAACGUGGAAUUCCAUGUGUAGCGGUGAAAUGCGUAGAUAUAUGGAGGAACACCAGUGGCGAAGGCGACGUUCUGGGCCGCAACUGACGCUCAGUCCCGAAAGCGUGGGGAGCAAAUAGG